UGGGCUCAUGCAUGCUGUCUUCAGCUGUAUGUUAUCUCAAAUAAUUACCCUCGCUUCUGGCUGUCCCUGGCGACUUCUGCUGCUAAAAAAGCUACUCAUUGUCGGAGACUGAAGAGGGAUUUCCAGCCUGCUUCUUGUGGCCGGGCAACGGCUCUUAAUUAACCACUCAGGUAUUGUGGGAGCUCCCAGCCCGGCUCGCUUCCAUAUGGCGCGAACAUGUCCGCAGUGAUAAGCACGGGAGGAAAUACUGUAUCAAAAGGGAGCUCGCACAACCGAAAGCUUGUGCAAAUUAUUUUUAAUGAUUCUUCUCUGAAAUGCAGACUGCCCAAUGGGAUGGAGUUUCCAGUGUGAUGUCAUUGGAAACAUUGCUCCUCAGAGCAGUGAAAUUAGCCCGAUAGAAAAAGAACACAGAGCCUCACUUUCCAAUCAGCCCAGAACAAUGGUGCGUCCAACUGCAAAAUGAACCAGAACACAAAAAGAAAAAUAAACCCUCGUCGGUCACAAG
RNAcentral lists this long non-coding RNA (505 nucleotides) under Rattus norvegicus (Norway rat). RNAcentral describes it as "long non-coding RNA NONRATT014489". Lineage: Eukaryota; Metazoa; Chordata; Mammalia; Rodentia; Muridae. The record is from RNAcentral.